GCCCGCCUAGCUCAAUCGGAUAGAGCGUCAGACUCUUACGAGUGCGGGUGAUUCACAUCAUCAUGUGAUCUGAAGGCUGCGAGUUCGACCCUCGCGGUGGGCU
Molecule: transfer RNA, 103 nt
Filed under: Trametopsis cervina
Lineage: Eukaryota; Fungi; Basidiomycota; Agaricomycetes; Polyporales; Irpicaceae
Description: tRNA-Lys
Rfam family: tRNA
About the family: Transfer RNA (tRNA) molecules are approximately 80 nucleotides in length. Their secondary structure includes four short double-helical elements and three loops (D, anti-codon, and T loops).
Source: RNAcentral